AACCGUAACAGCGAGCAAGGGAGGCGAAGGUCCAGAGAGGACAAAGAGGAGAGACUCUGAUCUGCAAGUCUGAGCUCAACUCCUCGCUUGAAACAGAAAAAUACAGAGACUUUGUCCUGGACCAAUUGAGAGGAUUUUGUCUCCCUGCACUCUGAAGCAGACGGUGGAGAAGACAGGCAAGAAUUCUGGGGGGCCACCUGUAAUUUCAAAAGGAAUAACGAAAGAAACCAUUUAAAUGUGUAGAGUGUGGAAUGUGCUCCAGUCAAUGAGCACAAUUCUUUCACAUUAAUUAACUGAACCAGAUAGCGUCAAUUGAAACCUUAAUAUACACCUACAGACUCACACA
Long non-coding RNA from Lacerta agilis (Sand lizard), 346 nucleotides. RefSeq lists it as uncharacterized. The record is from RefSeq and is a predicted model, not a curated record. NCBI's taxonomy places the organism in Eukaryota, Metazoa, Chordata, Lepidosauria, Squamata, Lacertidae. The transcript has 3 exons.